GACGAACGCUGGCGGCGUGCUUAACACAUGCAAGUCGAACGGAAAGGCCCUGCUUUUGUGGGGUGCUCGAGUGGCGAACGGGUGAGUAACACGUGAGUAACCUGCCCUUGACUUUGGGAUAACUUCAGGCAACUGGGGCUAAUACCGGAUAGGAGCUCCUGCUGCAUGGUGGGGGUUGGAAAGUUUCGGCGGUUGGGGAUGGACUCGCGGCUUAUCAGCUUGUUGGUGGGGUAGUGGCUUACCAAGGCUUUGACGGGUAGCCGGCCUGAGAGGGUGACCGGCCACAUUGGGACUGAGAUACGGCCCAGACUCCUACGGGAGGCAGCAGUGGGGAAUAUUGCACAAUGGGCGGAAGCCUGAUGCAGCAACGCCGCGUGCGGGAUGACGGCCUUCGGGUUGUAAACCGCUUUCGCCUGUGACGAAGCGUGAGUGGCGGUAAUGGGUAAAGAAGCACCGGCUAACUACGUG
Molecule: ribosomal RNA, 468 nt
Filed under: uncultured bacterium
Lineage: Bacteria
Description: partial 16S ribosomal RNA
Rfam family: Bacterial small subunit ribosomal RNA
Source: RNAcentral